Molecule: long non-coding RNA, 6475 nt
Filed under: Oreochromis niloticus (Nile tilapia)
Lineage: Eukaryota; Metazoa; Chordata; Actinopteri; Cichliformes; Cichlidae
Description: lncRNA (ENSONIG00000040896.1)
Source: RNAcentral
UCCUGGAAAGUGGAUUCGUCGUCGUGGGCCAGUUGAAUGGCCCCCAAGGUCUCCCGAUCUGACCCCUUAGACUUUUAUCUUUGGGGUCAUCUGAAGGCAAUUGUCUAUGGUGUGAAGAUACGAGAUGUGCAGCAUCUGAAACUACGGAUACUGGAUGCCUGUACUGGCAUUUCUCCUGCGGUGUUGCUAUCAGUGUGUGAAGAGUGGGAGAAGAGGGUUGCAUUGACAAUCCAACACAAUGGGCAGCACAUUGAACACAUUUUAUAAGUGGUCAGAAACUUGUAAAUAACUCAUGAAAGAAUAAAGUUACGUUGAAACCAAGCACACCAUUGUUUUUCUUGUGACAUUACCAAUAAGCUUGAUGUGUCACAUGGCCCUUUUCCUAUUGAAAAAACAAAAGUUGUAUCCAAGAUGGCCGACUUCUAAAUGGCCACCAUGGUCACCACCCAUCUUGAGGAGUUUGCCCCCUCACAUAUACUAAUGUGCCACAAACAGGACUUUAAUAUCACCAACCAUUCCCAUUUUAAUACGGUGUAUCCAUAUAAAUGGCCCACCCUGUACUUUGCCACUGUACUUAAGUAGAACUUUAAAAACACUUAAAAAUUAAAGGUGGUCCUGUCCGUGUAUUAAUUAUCAUAAGUUAUAAUUAUUAUAUGUGACAUCCUCUGGGAUGGCAAAAUCGAGUGACAUUAUUACACUGAACAAAAAUAUAAAUGCAACACUUUUGUUUUUACUCCCAUUUUACAUGAGCUGAACUUAAAGAUCUGAAACAUUUUCUACAUACACAAAGGACCCAUUACUAUCAAAUAUUGUUCACAAAUCUGUCCAAAUCUGUGUUGGUGAGCACUUCUCCUUUGCCGAGAAAAUCCAUCCCACCUCACAGGUGUGGCAUGUCAAGGUGCUGAUCAGAAAGCAUAAAUAUUGCACAGGUGUGCCUUUUUUAACCACUGAAUGUUUUUCAGAAGCUGUCGGUAAAAUGACGUGGAGCAGAAUACCUCCUCCUCACAAAUGUCUGUCUGUGGCAGUCCUGGGCCCCGUUCUUCGGCCCAUUCUGUCUCUCUCUGGCUCUUGGGACUAUUGCUGGAUCAUUACCCAAAUCCAUCCCAUGAACAUGGCACGCCAGGCCUCAGAGACAGCAGGUGCUUCGUCUGAAAGCAGCAUGUUUUUAAAGUCUUCACCACAGGGCAGAAAGGCUUAUAUGUGCCACCAGAGGGAGAAGCAGCAGGGAUCACACAGAAAAGGAAGAUGCUGCGGACAUGCACUGUGCCAGGGCUCUGCUCCGAUUGGUGCGUGGAUACACCGCCCCGACGUGACUGGUUCCAGCUGGAGGACCUGCCCAUUAAAAGGAGGCUGGAGUGCUACGGCGGGAGAGGUCCUCGCGGUUCUCCUCAUUACCCAGCAGUGUAACUGUGGCAGCCGCUGGCUGCAGUGCGGCUUGAAAGUGUUGGAAGUGGAGUGGGUAGGGGUGAGCUGCCGUUUCUUUUGAUCACCUGUUUUUCUCCUGUUUUGAAUUAGUUAAGGAGGUCAGACUCUGUCUUUAUUUUUGACUUUAUUUUGGUAAGGUCAGGGGUGCGGGAUUUGUGUAGAUUUGUUUUGUUUAUUAUUUUGGCCUUGGCUCACCCUGAAGUGUUGACACUCCCGUUCUGUUGUUCCUCUUCUUUCUUCCACUUUGUAAAUAAAUCACAAUAUAACGAACGGAUCUGUUUCCUGUCUUGGGGGGGGAAGCGAGUGCCUCAUUCAUGUUAUUGCCUGGCCCUAGACGGGUCGUAACACUAUGAUUUUGUAGACAUUCAAUGUUUUUAUACAAAUACUAUAAUAUGGCAGAAAACUAUGUUUUAGCACAAAUACUAUGAUUUGGUAUGAAUACUAUGAUUUGGCACAUAUACUAUAUUCAGCAAAUAUACUAUAACAUAACAGAAAUUCUACAACUUAGUACUAAUACUAUAACAUAACAGAAAUAUUACGAUUUGGCACAAGUACUAUGAUUUAGUACAAAUACUACAAAUUGGCAGAAAUACUAUGUUUCUGCAAAAAUACUAUGAUUUGGCAGAAAUACUAUGCCUUAGUAGUAAUACUAUAACACAACAGAUAUACUGAGAUGUUACAGACAUGUUUUAGCACAAAUAAAGUGAUUCGGUAUAAAUACUAUGUUUUGGUUCGAAUACUAUGAUUUGCAACAAAUACUACGAUUUAACACAGGCACUAUGAUUUAGUACAAAUACUACAAAUUGGCAGAAAUACUGUGACCUAGUAGUAAUACUAUAACAUAACAUAACAUAUAUACUAUGAUUUUGCAUACAUUCUAUCUUUUUGCAAAAAUACUACAAUAAGGCAGAAAUAUUAUGUUUUAGCAGAAAUACUAUGAUUUGAUAUAAAUACUAUGAUUUAGCACAUAUACUAUAUUCAGCAGAUAUACUAUAGCAUAACAGAAAUUUUACGACUUAGUAGUAAUAUUAAUUGAGCGUAAAUACUCUAAUUUGGCAAAAAUACCAUGAUUUGGCACAAAUACGAUGAUAUGGCAGAAAUACUAUGAUUGGGUACAAAUACUAUGAUUUAGAAGAAAUACUGCAUUUUACCACAACUUCUGAGAUUUGAUUGAAAUACUAUGAUUUAGAAGAAAUACUAUGAAUCCAUACAAAUACAAUGCUUUGGCACAAAUACUAUGAUUUGGUUUGAAUACUGUGAUUUAGUACAAAUACUAUGAUUUGGCAGAUAUACUAUAUUCAGCACAUAUAUACUAUAUAUAUACUAUAACAUAUCAGAAAUAUUCUGAUUUGGCACAAUGACCAUGAUUUGGCACAAAUACCAUGAUUUGGCAAAAAUACUAUGAUUUAGCAGAAGUACUAAGAUGUAGUAGAAGUACUUUGAUUUAGCAGAAAUACUAUGAUUGAGGAGUAAUACUUUAACAUAGUAGAAAUACUGAUACACACACACAUACACAGAGCGUAAAGUGAACAGGGUCUGUUAAGAGUCUGGGCUUGGUAUAUCUAGGUCAGUUAAAUUAGCUGCACCUGCUGUAAUCAGCCCUUACACACACAGACACUGAGGGAAAACUGAGGGAGUCGUUGAGUGCCAAAAAACGUACGGAAGCAACUGGAAUAAAGUGGAAUAAAGAAUAAAGAGAAACAGGAAAACAAUAGUGUGGAAGCCCUUUUAGGGCAUCCACACAAUAAAGAGAAACAGGAACUCAAUAGUGUGGAUGCCUUCAAGCAUCCACAUAAUAAAGAGAAACAGGAACUCAAUAGUGUGGAUGCCUUAAAGCAUCCACACAAUAUUAAAGAAUAAAGAGAAACAGGAACUCAAUAGUGUGAAUGCCCUUUGAGACAUUCACACAAUAAUCGCAAGGUAGAUUAAAAUGUCACGGCUGCGGUGGCAGACGUGUGGUGAGUGUGAGAGAGGACCCAAACGCUGGCACUGGCUUGGAUGUGAGCGAGCUUUAUUUACACAUUGGUGGCACAAACAGAAAAACGGCGAGCAAAACAAAACCUAAAGAUAACCUAAACACGGGAAAUGACUAACAAAACUAACCUGAACGGACGACUCUGGGAGAAAACGCAGGGAAGAAACACAGACGGAGUAGCGACGAACACAAGAGAACACACACUAUUAAUAUACAGACGGUGUGCCAGUUGCUGUUGUGAUGCAGUGUAUCACCACAUGGCAGCACCUCCUGUCUCAUGACUGGUGUGUCACCCCCUUUCUUGUUCUUUUUCGCACUCUCCCUGUAAUGGAUUCUCCCGUGUGUAUGCGGAGUAGUGUGCUCUCAAGUAAUGUGUGGUAGAGGUAGCACUUUUAUUUUUGAUAUUUUAAAUAAAUGAGUACUUGUGGAAAGUCAGAAGCUGUUGCUCAUUCGCUAUCCACCUGCACACCUCCGCGGCUGGCUUCAUCUCUGCCGCACGCUACAACGGGAACGAGGAAACUACACACAGGAGGGAGGCACAGCUGAUUCUGACUGACUGAAGACGAGGCAGGGGAAAUGCAAACUGAACACACUGGCAUAAGACACAGACCUUCACAAUAAAACAGGAAAGACAGAACACAAGGAAGCCACAUAACAAACCCUAAAACUAGAAUUCAAGAAACACUAAAAAACUAAGGAAGGUGACACCAUGAGAAGAAACCAAAACCCAAAAGUACAAAACUCAAAAGACACUGGGUCACCAACCCAGGACCAUAGCAUAAAACCUGAAAUCAAUUUUUACACCUCAAUGUAUUUUGCCAGAAAAAUCAGAAACUCAGGUAAAAGCUCACACAACUAUUUCCACAACCACCAAACAGCGAAACAGCAAAUGAUUAAAGAGCAGGUAAAUGGAAAAAGAUGUAAACACCAAGCGUGGAUCAUUCACCUGACACAUGGACAUGCCAUUGGGUGCUGAAAGCAGAGAUCUCACAGAUUCUGAAAGUUCAGGUUUCGUCACUCUCUCACCAAAAUUUACUGAACCAGCAGCAAAAGAAGAUCAAAACUAUGCCUCACAUUUGGAAAAUAUUGUAAUAAAUUCCUUCUUACUUUUGCUGUUUUGCAUCCACCACGAUAAAAUUGCAGUUCCUACACAGCUCUCGGUGUGCUUCGAGAUCAGUUUUCCAUCAAACUAUCUAUUUUCUGCCUCAUUCACUUGAUUAUGAUGCACCAGUCUACUGUUGUGUACAGUGCUGUCUGAUGCUUUUUUUUCUGUUUUUUGUUUUUCCCAAAAAAUGUCCUCCAACAAGAAAACCUAAUUUCUGCUCUUUAAUAAGAAAUUAAAACUUUUUAAAAUAAUGUCAAAUUGCAAAACGCUUAGCUGUGUCUCUAAUAAAACCUCUGUAACUUUGUUCUGCUUCACUCCAGCAGCAUCAGGUAAUAUUCAUAUGUUGACUCGUGUGUUUUUUUUAAAAAAUGCUGUAAAAAGCUAGGCCACGAAAAUCUCCUUCGUAUUUUUCUGUUUUAUCCUCAGUCACUUUGACACAAAGGCAUCUGCUGUGAGGCUUGCACCUCUGAUGAAGUCUCACUAGUGUCAGCUUUGUUUUGGUACCCAGAUAGUUGGAUGUUGUUCCUGGAGUCUGCUGGAGCUACUGCACUCAGUGCUUCGAUUACCAUGGAGACGACUGUUACCUUCACCCUCCACAUCUUCUUGGUAUUUCUCGAGCUUCUUGCAUUUCUUCUUCCUGAUCUUGCUAUCACUUACUUACUCCUCUGAUUGUCCACCACUACUGUGUCCGGUUGUUUAACCAACACCAGUUUUUUCAUCUGUAGCUGGAAUCCCACAGGAUCUUAUUCUCAACCACCCCAGGCGGCGUAUACAAUUUUGACGUGGGGACUUCCAGGCCAUUUUGAAACAGAAGUUCCUAUAUAUCAUUACAGUCACUUGGCAUUCCAUGCAUGCCCUGCCUGCCAGCUUUUUGCACUCUGCAGUUAUGUACUGCAUCUUUGCACAGCCUGCACCUGGGGGCUUACCUGGUGUGACCCCACCUUCUAUUGCUAUUGUGCUUAGAUCUUCCUCCUGUGCUACCAUGAUUAGUGCCUCUGUGCUGUCUUUCAGUCCAGCUUUGUCCAGCCACUGGUAGGAUUUCUCGAUAUCUGCCACUUCUUUUAUCUGCAUAUAUUAUACAUUAUAUAUAUAUAUAUAUAUAUAUAUAUUAGGGGUGCAACAAUACACAAAAUUCACGGUUCGGUUCGGUUCGAUACUUUGGUGUCACGGUUCGAUAUUUUUUCGAUACAAAAAAAUGUUCAUGCCUUUUUAAUUUGUCAUUUAUUAAAAUUAUAAAUAUAUAUUUUAACUCAAAAGUACAGUUUUUAAAUUUAAUGUUGCUGAAACAACAAAAUAAUAAAAAAAAUAAAUCUAUCAGAUCGAGAAAUCACUCAUCUUUGGAAAAGAGAGUUUAUUACAGAGAAAGGGCUCUUUCCAAAAUAAAAGCUAUACUAUACGCUUCUUCCGGGCUAUAUUCUCAGCAGCAUAUUAAACAUAUCAGGUCCCCAUAAGGAGAAUCAUGUGCUAACGGCUGUCUAAAUGACUCGGGUAAAGUUUGUAGCAUGCGUGCUUUUUGUUUUUGUCUGCUUCCACUUGUCUUUGCACUAGGAUGAUGUCGGCGUAAAUGUGCAGUCAUAUUCAUUGUGUUCCCACUAGUGCUGUCAGCGUUAAUCUCGUUAAAAUGACUUCAACGCCAUAACGCGGCAAAUCUCCGUUAACAAGUUACAGCGGAUCGCCCCGUGCGUGAGGCUGGAUGGCGUCAACACCUUAACGAGCUAACUGCGCUAACGCACUAGUUCCCACCAAUGUAAUUGAGCAUUGCGUUGCACAUCUGACAUACUGUUUUACUUUUGUCCAUGACGCGCUUACUAUCAGGGUCAUGCUUCACAUGAAAAUCAAAAUAGUUCCAAACACCGGAUCUGAAUGAGGGUGGGGGAGGUUCAAUUUCGAGGCAGUUGCCAUGUUGCAACGAGCUUAACUUAUGUCUUGCUAGCUUGCGCUGCGCUCAGUGGAUCUGCACUCGACAGUGC